CGAGGCGUGGCUUAGUUUGGUAGAGCGCUGCGUUCGGGACGCAGAGGUCGUGGGUUCAAAUCCCGUCGCCUCGA
RNAcentral lists this transfer RNA (74 nucleotides) under Clostridiales bacterium. RNAcentral's name for it is "tRNA-Pro". It matches the Rfam family "tRNA". Rfam says of the family: Transfer RNA (tRNA) molecules are approximately 80 nucleotides in length. Their secondary structure includes four short double-helical elements and three loops (D, anti-codon, and T loops). The record is from RNAcentral. Lineage: Bacteria; Bacillati; Bacillota; Clostridia; Eubacteriales.